UACGUAGGGUGCAAGCGUUGUCCGGAAUUAUUGGGCGUAAAGAGCUCGUAGGCGGUCUGUCGCGUCGGAUGUGAAAAUCCAGGGCUCAACCCUGGACCUGCAUUCGAUACGGGCAGACUAGAGUUCGGUAGGGGAGACUGGAAUUCCUGGUGUAGCGGUGAAAUGCGCAGAUAUCAGGAGGAACACCGGUGGCGAAGGCGGCAUCCUGGACCAACACUGACGCUGAGGAGCGAAAGCCAGGGGAGCAAACGGG
Molecule: ribosomal RNA, 253 nt
Filed under: uncultured bacterium
Lineage: Bacteria
Description: partial 16S ribosomal RNA
Rfam family: Bacterial small subunit ribosomal RNA
Source: RNAcentral